This 304-nucleotide ribosomal RNA is filed under the name uncultured temperate forest soil bacterium C6052s. Its description in RNAcentral is "bacterial SSU rRNA". It matches the Rfam family "Bacterial small subunit ribosomal RNA", at positions 353 to 674 of the family's 1533-position model. Lineage: Bacteria; Pseudomonadati; Acidobacteriota. The record is from RNAcentral.
AGUGGGGAAUUUUGCGCAAUGGGGGAAACCCUGACGCAGCAACGCGGCGUGGAGGAUGAAAUAUCUUGGUAUGUAAACUCCUUUCGAUGGGGAAGAUUAUGGCGGUACCCAUAGAAGAAGCCCCGGCUAACUUCGUGCCAGCAGCCGCGGUAAUACGAGGGGGGCAAGCGUUGUUCGGAAUUAUUGGGCGUAAAGGGUGCGUAGGCGGUCUGACAAGUCUGAUGUGAAAUCUAUGGGCUCAACCCAUAGUCUGCAUCGGAAACUGUCGGGCUUGAGUAUGGGAGAGGUGAGUGGAAUUUCCGGU